RNAcentral lists this ribosomal RNA (777 nucleotides) under Salmonella enterica. Its description in RNAcentral is "partial 23S ribosomal RNA". It matches the Rfam family "Bacterial large subunit ribosomal RNA", at positions 1200 to 1874 of the family's 2925-position model. The record is from RNAcentral. Lineage: Bacteria; Pseudomonadati; Pseudomonadota; Gammaproteobacteria; Enterobacterales; Enterobacteriaceae.
CUGCGGCAGCGAACGUAUCACCCAAGACAACUUUACGGAGUUGACGAUUGACGGAGCGAAGCGACGUCAAAGCGUUCAUUAAAGUCGAGUUGGCUUAGGGAUACGUUCGUUGGGUAGGGGAGCGUUCUGUAAGCCUGUGAAGGUGUGUCGUGAGGCAUGCUGGAGGUAUCAGAAGUGCGAAUGCUGACAUAAGUAACGAUAAAGCGGGUGAAAAGCCCGCUCGCCGGAAGACCAAGGGUUCCUGUCCAACGUUAAUCGGGGCAGGGUGAGUCGACCCCUAAGGCGAGGCCGAAAGGCGUAGUCGAUGGGAAACGGGUUAAUAUUCCCGUACUUGGUGUUACUGCGAAGGGGGGACGGAGAAGGCUAUGUUGGCCGGGCGACGGUUGUCCCGGUUUAAGCGUGUAGGUGUGUGUUCCAGGUAAAUCCGGUUCACUUUAACACUGAGGCGUGACGACGAGGCACUACGGUGCUGAAGCAACAAAUGCCCUGCUUCCAGGAAAAGCCUCUAAGCAUCAGGUAACAUCAAAUCGUACCCCAAACCGACACAGGUGGUCAGGUAGAGAAUACCAAGGCGCUUGAGAGAACUCGGGUGAAGGAACUAGGCAAAAUGGUGCCGUAACUUCGGGAGAAGGCACGCUGACACGUAGGUGAAGUGAUUUACUCAUGGAGCUGAAGUCAGUCGAAGAUACCAGCUGGCUGCAACUGUUUAUUAAAAACACAGCACUGUGCAAACACGAAAGUGGACGUAUACGGUGUGACGCCUGCCCGGUGCCGGAA